UUGGUUACUACAAUCGGCCAUAAUGCAACAAGGAGUCUUACGAGGAUAGCACGAGGGAGGAUUAAAUUGUAUUAAAAGAAUUAUAUGAUGCAUAUAGACAUAAAUUCAUUAUUGCAGCAAAGUAUAGUAAAAUACGAUAAAAAAGUCUACAUGGAUAAAAAUGACGACAGAUGAUGAAUAGUGUAAGUAUAUGUAAAUAAAUAUACAAAAGGGAAUAUUAAAAUUAAUGAGA
This is a long non-coding RNA of Camponotus floridanus (Florida carpenter ant), 232 nucleotides long. RefSeq lists it as uncharacterized. Lineage: Eukaryota; Metazoa; Arthropoda; Insecta; Hymenoptera; Formicidae. The record is from RefSeq and is a predicted model, not a curated record. The transcript has 3 exons.